UUAAGCGACUAAGCGUACACGGUGGAUGCCCUGGCAGUCAGAGGCGAUGAAGGACGUGCUAAUCUGCGAAAAGCGUCGGUAAGGUGAUAUGAACCGUUAUAACCGGCGAUGUCCGAAUGGGGAAACCCAGUGCAAUUCGUUGCACUAUCGUUAACUGAAUACAUAGGUUAACGAGGCGAACCGGGGGAACUGAAACAUCUAAGUACCCCGAGGAAAAGAAAUCAACCGAGAUUCCCCCAGUAGCGGCGAGCGAACGGGGAGCAGCCCAGAGUCUGAAUCAGCUUGUGUGUUAGUGGAACGGUCUGGAAAGUCCGACGGUACAGGGUGAUAGUCCCGUACACCAAAAUGCACAGGCUGUGAACUCGAAGAGUAGGGCGGGACACGUGGUAUCCUGUCUGAAUAUGGGGGGACCAUCCUCCAAGGCUAAAUACUCCUGACUGACCGAUAGUGAACCAGUACCGUGAGGGAAAGGCGAAAAGAACCCCGGCGAGGGGAGUGAAAAAGAACCUGAAACCGUGUACGUACAAGCAGUGGGAGCACCUUCGGGUGUGACUGCGUACCUUUUGUAUAAUGGGUCAGCGACUUAUAUUCUGUAGCAAGGUUAACCGUAUAGGGGAGCCGCAGGGAAACCGAGUCUUAACUGGGCGUUAAGUUGCAGGGUAUAGACCCGAAACCCGGUGAUCUAGCCAUGGGCAGGUUGAAGGUUGGGUAACACUAACUGGAGGACCGAACCGACUAAUGUUGAAAAAUUAGCGGAUGACUUGUGGCUGGGGGUGAAAGGCCAAUCAAACCGGGAGAUAGCUGGUUCUCCCCGAAAGCUAUUUAGGUAGCGCCUCGUGAACUCAUCUUCGGGGGUAGAGCACUGUUUCGGCUAGGGGGUCAUCCCGACUUACCAACCCGAUGCAAACUACGAAUACCGAAGAAUGUUAUCACGGGAGACACACGGCGGGUGCUAACGUCCGUCGUGAAGAGGGAAACAACCCAGACCGCCAGCUAAGGUCCCAAAGUCAUGGUUAAGUGGGAAACGAUGUGGGAAGGCACAGACAGCCAGGAUGUUGGCUUAGAAGCAGCCAUCAUUUAAAGAAAGCGUAAUAGCUCACUGGUCGAGUCGGCCUGCGCGGAAGAUGUAACGGGGCUAAACCAUGCACCGAAGCUGCGGCAGCGACACUAUGUGUUGUUGGGUAGGGGAGCGUUCUGUAAGCCUGCGAAGGUGACCUGUGAGGGUUGCUGGAGGUAUCAGAAGUGCGAAUGCUGACAUAAGUAACGAUAAAGCGGGUGAAAAGCCCGCUCGCCGGAAGACCAAGGGUUCCUGUCCAACGUUAAUCGGGGCAGGGUGAGUCGACCCCUAAGGCGAGGCCGAAAGGCGUAGUCGAUGGGAAACAGGUUAAUAUUCCUGUACUUGGUGUUACUGCGAAGGGGGGACGGAGAAGGCUAUGUUAGCCGGGCGACGGUUGUCCCGGUUUAAGCAUGUAGGCUGGUUGUCCAGGCAAAUCCGGAUAAUCAAGGCUGAGGUGUGAUGACGAGGCACUACGGUGCUGAAGUAACAAAUGCCCUGCUUCCAGGAAAAGCCUCUAAGCAUCAGGUAACAUUAAAUCGUACCCCAAACCGACACAGGUGGUCAGGUAGAGAAUACCAAGGCGCUUGAGAGAACUCGGGUGAAGGAACUAGGCAAAAUGGUGCCGUAACUUCGGGAGAAGGCACGCUGGUGUGUAGGUGAAGUCCCUGCGGAUGGAGCUGAGACCAGUCGAAGAUACCAGCUGGCUGCAACUGUUUAUUAAAAACACAGCACUGUGCAAACACGAAAGUGGACGUAUACGGUGUGACGCCUGCCCGGUGCCGGAAGGUUAAUUGAUGGGGUUAUCCGUAAGGAGAAGCUCUUGAUCGAAGCCCCGGUAAACGGCGGCCGUAACUAUAACGGUCCUAAGGUAGCGAAAUUCCUUGUCGGGUAAGUUCCGACCUGCACGAAUGGCGUAAUGAUGGCCAGGCUGUCUCCACCCGAGACUCAGUGAAAUUGAACUCGCUGUGAAGAUGCAGUGUACCCGCGGCAAGACGGAAAGACCCCGUGAACCUUUACUAUAGCUUGACACUGAACAUUGAGCCUUGAUGUGUAGGAUAGGUGGGAGGCUUUGAAGCGUGGACGCCAGUCUGCGUGGAGCCAACCUUGAAAUACCACCCUUUAAUGUUUGAUGUUCUAACGUUGGCCCCUGACCGGGGUUGCGGACAGUGUCUGGUGGGUAGUUUGACUGGGGCGGUCUCCUCCCAAAGCGUAACGGAGGAGCACGAAGGUUAGCUAAUCCUGGUCGGACAUCAGGAGGUUAGUGCAAUGGCAUAAGCUAGCUUGACUGCGAGCGUGACGGCGCGAGCAGGUGCGAAAGCAGGUCAUAGUGAUCCGGUGGUUCUGAAUGGAAGGGCCAUCGCUCAACGGAUAAAAGGUACUCCGGGGAUAACAGGCUGAUACCGCCCAAGAGUUCAUAUCGACGGCGGUGUUUGGCACCUCGAUGUCGGCUCAUCACAUCCUGGGGCUGAAGUAGGUCCCAAGGGUAUGGCUGUUCGCCAUUUAAAGUGGUACGCGAGCUGGGUUUAGAACGUCGUGAGACAGUUCGGUCCCUAUCUGCCGUGGGCGCUGGAGAAUUGAGGGGGGCUGCUCCUAGUACGAGAGGACCGGAGUGGACGCAUCACUGGUGUUCGGGUUGUCAUGCCAAUGGCACUGCCCGGUAGCUAAAUGCGGAAGAGAUAAGUGCUGAAAGCAUCUAAGCACGAAACUUGCCCCGAGAUGAGUUCUCCCUGAGACUUUAAGUCUCCUGAAGGAACGUUGAAGACGACGACGUUGAUAGGCCGGGUGUGUAAGCGCAGCGAUGCGUUGAGCUAACCGGUACUAAUGAACCGUGAGGCUUAACCUU
RNAcentral lists this ribosomal RNA (2900 nucleotides) under Klebsiella pneumoniae. RNAcentral's name for it is "bacterial LSU rRNA". It matches the Rfam family "Bacterial large subunit ribosomal RNA". Lineage: Bacteria; Pseudomonadati; Pseudomonadota; Gammaproteobacteria; Enterobacterales; Enterobacteriaceae. The record is from RNAcentral.